GACGUAGACCCGAAACCAGGCGACCUAUCCAUGAGCAGGUUGAAGCGAAAGUAAAAUUUCGUGGAGGACCGAACCCACGUACGUUGAAAAGUGCGGGGAUGACUUGUGGAUAGCGGUGAAAUUCCAAUCGAGCCUGGAGAUAGCUGGUUCUCCCCGAAAUAGCUUUAGGGCUAGCCUCAAGCUUAGAGAAACGGAGGUAGAGCACUGAAUGUCCUAGGGGGUAUUGCACUUACCGAAGACUAUCAAACUCCGAAUGCCGUAUUCUUUUGCUUGGGAGUCAGACUAUGGGUGAUAAGAUUCAUAGUCAAGAGGGCAACAGCCCAGAUCGUCAGCUAAGGUCCCUAAAUGUAAGUUAAGUGGUAAAGGAUGUGGGAUUGCACAGACAACCAGGAUGUUGGCUUAGAAGCAGCCACUCAUUUAAAGAGUGCGUAAUAGCUCACUGGUCGAGUGAUUCUGCGCCGAAAAUUUCCGGGGCUAAAACUUACUACCGAAGCUACGGCAUCAUUAUGAUGGGUAGGGGAGCUUUCUAUGUGGCUUGAAGCAUGACCGUAAGGACAUGUGGACUGCAUAGAAGUGAGAAUGUUGGCAUGAGUAGCGAGAUGUGGGUGAGAAUCCCACAGGCCGUAAACCCAAGGUUUCCAGGGGAAGGUUCGUCCGCCCUGGGUUAGUCAGGACCUAAGCCGAGGCCGAAAGGCGUAGGUGAUGGACAACAGGUUGAUAUUCCUGUACCACCAAUAACCGUUUGAGAAAUGGGAUGACACAGUAGGAUAAGCUAACCGCACUGUUGGUUAUGUGCGGGCAAGUAUUGAGGCAGUUCCGAUAGGCAAAUCCGUCGGAAUAAUGCUGGGGUACGAUGCGGAGCGAAAUUUAGUAGCGAAGUAGCUGAUUUCACACUGUCGAGAAAAGUCUCUAUCGAGGUUAAAGGUGCCUGUACCGCAAACCGACACAGGUGGGUGAGGAGAGUAUCCUAAGGCCAGCGAGAGAACUGUUGUUAAGGAACUCGGCAAAAUGACCCCGUAACUUAGGGAGAAGGGGUGCCAUGGAAACAUGGCCGCAGAGAAUAGGCCCAAGCGACUGUUUACCAAAAACAUAGGUUUCUGCUAAGUCGCAAGACGAUGUAUAGGAGCUGACGCCUGCCCGGUGCUGGAAGGUUAAGGGGAUCUGUUAGAGCAAUCGAAGCAGUGAACUUAAGCCCCAGUAAACGGCGGCCGUAACUAUAACGGUCCUAAGGUAGCGAAAUUCCUUGUCGGGUAAGUUCCGACCCGCACGAAAGGCGUAACGAUUUGGGCACUGUCUCAACAACAGACUCGGUGAAAUUGUAAUACCGGUGAAGAUGCCGGUUACCUGCGACAGGACGGAAAGACCCCAUGGAGCUUUACUGUAGCUUGACAUUGAGUCUCGGUGCUACAUGUACAGGAUAGGUGGGAGACUAUGAAGCAUGGACGUCAGUCUGUGUGGAGUCAUCCUUGGGAUACCACCCUUGUAGUACUGGGAUUCUAACCAGAGGCCAUGAAUCUGGUCUUGGGACACUGUCAGGUGGACAGUUUGACUGGGGCGGUCGCCUCCCAAAAAGUAACGGAGGCGCUCAAAGGUUCUCUCAGUACGGUCGGAAAUCGUACGAAGAGUGUAAAGGCAAAAGAGAGCUUGAUUGCAAGACAUACAGGUCGAGCAAGGACGAAAGUCGGACUUAGUGAUCCGGUGGUUCCGCAUGGAAGGGCCAUCGCUCAACGGAUAAAAGCUA
This 1741-nucleotide ribosomal RNA is filed under the name human gut metagenome. RNAcentral's name for it is "bacterial LSU rRNA". It matches the Rfam family "Bacterial large subunit ribosomal RNA", at positions 706 to 2465 of the family's 2925-position model. The record is from RNAcentral.